Molecule: long non-coding RNA, 732 nt
Organism: Acomys russatus (golden spiny mouse)
Lineage: Eukaryota; Metazoa; Chordata; Mammalia; Rodentia; Muridae
Exons: 4
Source: RefSeq, a predicted model, not a curated record
CACCUCCCAAGUUUCAGAAUUACAGGAGUUCAUCAUCUUGCCUGGCUAAAUUUCCUACAACAUAAAUCUACAAGCAAUUAUGACUCCUGGGGAAAACAACCAUGAAUAAAGAAGGAAGAAUAGAGUUAAGGGACUGGCAAUGAGCCCCACGCCCCACCCCCUCCCCACCCCUUAAGCCUUUGUCAUAUUAUCCCAACCUGAAAAAGAAAUAAGAUGACAGAAAAUGCAAUAGCCUCUAAAACUGUACUUUCUGCUGCAGAUGAAGCAGUAACAGCUGUGGGCAGUGUCUGGGGCAGCAAAUGGACAGACAGGUACAGUGGCAGCUGUGGGCAGUGUCUGGGGCAGCAAAUGGACAGACAGGUACAGUGGCAGCUGUGGGCAGUGUCUGGGGCAGCAAAUGGACAGACAGGUACAGUGGCAGCUGUGGGCAGUGUCUGGGGCAGCAAAUGGACAGACAGGUACAGUGGCAGCUGUGGGCAGUGUCUGGGGCAGCAAAUGGACAGACAGGUACAGUGGCAGCUGUGGGCAGUGUCUGGGGCAGCAAAUGGACAGACAGGUACAGUGGCAGCUGUGGGCAGUGUCUGGGCAGCAAAUGGACAGACAGGUACAGUGGCAGCUGUGGGCAGUGUCUGGGGCAGCAAAUGGACAGACAGGUACAGUGGCAGCUGUGGGCAGUGUCUAGGGCAGCAAAUGGACAGACAGGUACAGUGGCAGCCGUGGGCAGUGUCUAGG